RNAcentral lists this ribosomal RNA (200 nucleotides) under uncultured bacterium. Its description in RNAcentral is "partial 16S ribosomal RNA". It matches the Rfam family "Bacterial small subunit ribosomal RNA", at positions 29 to 256 of the family's 1533-position model. The record is from RNAcentral.
AACGAACGCUGGCGGCAUGCCUAACACAUGCAAGUCGAACGAGACCUUCGGGUCUAGUGGCGCACGGGUGCGUAACGCGUGGGAAUCUGCCCAAAGGUUCGGAAUAACUCAGGGAAACCUGAGCUAGUACCGGAUAAUGUCGCAAGACCAAAGAUUUAUUGCCUCUGGAUGAGCCCGCGUAGGAUUAGCUAGUUGGUGGG